RNAcentral lists this ribosomal RNA (326 nucleotides) under uncultured Enterobacter sp. Its description in RNAcentral is "bacterial SSU rRNA". It matches the Rfam family "Bacterial small subunit ribosomal RNA", at positions 381 to 703 of the family's 1533-position model. The record is from RNAcentral. Lineage: Bacteria; Pseudomonadati; Pseudomonadota; Gammaproteobacteria; Enterobacterales; Enterobacteriaceae.
GGCCUGUGCAGCCAUGCCGCGUGUAUGAAGAAGGCUCUUCGGGUUGUAAAGUACUUUCAGCGGGAGAGGGGCCUUGGUUAAUAACCUCAGCAAUUGACGUUACCGAGAAAAAGGACCGGCUAACUCCGUGCCAGCAGCCGCGGUAAUACGGAGGGUGCAAGCGUUAAUCGGAAUUACUGGGCGUUCAAAAGCACAGAGGCGGUCUGUCAAGUCGGAUGUGAAAUCCCCGGGCUCAACCUGGGAACUGCAUUCGAAACUGGCAGGCUGAGUCUUGUAGAGGGGGGUAGAAUUCCAGGUGUAGCGGUGAAAUGCGUAGAGAUCUGGAG